RNAcentral lists this long non-coding RNA (9663 nucleotides) under Physcomitrium patens. Its description in RNAcentral is "long non-coding RNA (PPAT_LNC011891)". The record is from RNAcentral. Lineage: Eukaryota; Viridiplantae; Streptophyta; Bryopsida; Funariales; Funariaceae.
CCAAUCCACAAAAUCUAAUCAAGACAAUUCCUUCGAUUACAAUUCUUCUCCACUAAAUUUUCAACCUUGCGAUAAAUAGUGACUGAAAACUUCCAUACGACCUCAAUCUUUUACAACAAUUGAUAAAUAGUGAUCCAUAAACAACUUUGUAAAUCAAACAUUAAUUCAUUAAAUCGAUUCUCUUUACUAGAAUCAACACUAACACAAAAAAAACAAGAAAACUAAAAAGAAGAGAUAGCACCAAGCUUAUCUCCGGCUCAGUACUAUCGCAGUCUGGCCCUCGGCUUACGACUCUCAUAGUCUGGAAUUUUCUUCCCCUCUCCCAUCCUCCUUAUACUACCUCGAGAUACCAACUCCUAUACUACAGAUAAUAACUACUUUUCCUGACUAUUCAUCCAUUCUACCUGCUGAACCACCUUUUCAGCAGUUAUCUAUCCCUGUUUAUACUAUAUACUAGGUAUCUACAUUCUGAAAAUAACUACUUAUUCUACAUAGCCCCAUUCCUAACUGUGUAACGUCCUUGCAAAUACUCAAUUGAUACCUAUCUAAAAAUUAUCUAAAAAAACUCUAUAAAAAUUGUGAUCCAUGUGCCCUAUCUAAUUAAUCAAUUGCCGUAGUAUCUGUUAUUGGUUCCACCAAUUCCGGUUCCAACUGCAAAUCUUCGUCCUCUUCCAAUCCUUCCAUUGGCUCCUACCUCAACUGAGCUGAAAGGUCUUCAUUGUACUUGCCUAAUUCACGGACUUGAGCUUCCAAUUUCAAGAUCUGGGCAUCUCUCAAUUCCAACUAGCGCUGAAAGUGACUCCUCUCUUCUGGAACUUUGGGAACUGGCAACGUCAAUACUUGUGUUUGACCAAUAUUGACUAAAUCCUCUACCAAUCUUGUCACCUUGGAGUUCAAGGCCUCAAUUUCAGCCCUUAACUGCUCCAUUUCACAUCUCUAUUGGUCACUCAAAACCAAUUUUUCUUGUGCCAAUAACUCGGUCUUUUCUCGUUCCAUUACCAACUGACCCUUCACUUUUUCUAAUUCCAAAAUUGAAUGACUGCGAGCUCGGAAUAGUUCUUGCCUGAGGGUCUCCACCAUGCGCUCUCUUUUUUUGUCCCAAGCUUCAUGUUGUUCUCCAAUUUGUCACUCCAAUAGCAGCUUGGAUUUAACAUUCGCCUGGAUGAUCUGUUCUUGCUCUUCAAUUCUUCGUGUUUGCUCCGAUAUCACCUUUUUGCUUGCCUCUAAUUCCAGUUUAUCACUACCCUCUACAUCCAAUGCUCGUACCAUGCAAUGUAUUUACGAAAUGUACUUCAAUAAAGAAUUUUUAAGAUGUACGCCUUUCGACAAUCGGCCCUGUGGAAACGCUAAUUGAUUGAUAUCUAACAAAGUCGGGACUUCAUUCUCGUCGUCCACCACCGAACAAAUCGGAUCCGUUUUCGGUGCCACUAGACGACUGGAUUCCCCAAUUUUAUGUAUUACCUCUAUUGUAUUGAUAUUCUGUGCGACGAAUUUUGUUCUCACUGGGGAGGCACUGGCAUUGAUUCAGAACUUCCCUCUACUGGCGAUGUUUGCCACAAUAUGUACGCGAUCACAGCAUACACAUAAUUGGAACAUAUCAACGCUGUAAACUUUCCUAUUUUGUGCUUGGCUCCUAUUUUCGCAUGAAUACGGGUUGCUACAUAAGCUGUCCAAUUGAACACCAUCCCUUCAAAUGUCCCUACCGCUGCAAACAUUAACCGUCUUGACAUAUAUGUGUUGUGUCGAUACAACCCUAGACGCCUCAGCACGAAGCGAAACCAUUCUAUGAGCUCUGGUGUAAUUGCCUCAGCCGUCCCCCAACCUUAGUUCUUCUCAAAUGAUGACAUGCCACUUUUGAAAUAACUUCCUGGUCGGAAGUCACUGGACUCCUCAACACCCACCGCAAUCUCUCCAACUGGAAGAAACAAUACUUUUUUGAGGAUCUUCUCAUCAAUAUCGAUAAUGUGCCCUUGUACUAUGCUCGAUCUAUCAUGUGGGUCAUAGUUCGCGAUGUAUUCUUCCACUAAUGCCACAUUCAUUGAAGGCAAACUAUUUGACCUUCGCAAAAAUUGAAACAUUUGCGCGUUUCAAAAAUCUCGUAUUCACCUUGGCGUCUAGCAAAUCUCCAGCUUCAUAGGCUCCAUAUUAGUAACGAUUACUACAGAUGGUGGUCCUAAAUUGUAUUUAGCUUUCACAUUUCGGCCACUUUUUUCUCUGUCCGUAGCUCUCUUUGUACUCUCAAUCACCAUAAAGCACACUCUUUCAAGCUCUAACCGUCAAUACUACGCUCCAGUACUCCAAAACAUCCGAAAUUGUAACACCAAAAAGAAACAAUAACAGAAUGUGACAAUUGAGAAUGAUCGUAAAUAGGUGCCCCUUUCCUAUUCUUUUACCUAGUCGUGAUAACGACAAUAUGUUACCCCUACUGUCCGUUUCUCAUCCCCGUCCCAUCUGACACAUUAGUAAUUAAUAACUAUCCCUUCAGCCACCUCUAUACCCUAACGUACUUAAUUAGGUCUAUCCUAAGUACAUUCGACAUGACCUCCUCCAGAAAUUGAAAACCCGUCCCAGGUUUUACGUAUGAUAUAAUCGUAAUCGGUUCCCAUUAAUGCGGGUAUUGAAUCGAUGACCCAUGAAAUCCUCCAAUUGAAUAGACCCAUUGGAAAACCCUUCAAUCACACGAUAUGGCCCAUGCCAGCAAACUUGAAAUUUGCCUGAAAAAUGAUUAAACCUGCUAUCAAACAACAAUACCAAAUCAUUGGGCAUAAAACUCUUCGGACGCAGUUUACUAUCAUAGUAACUCUUCCACCAUUUUUGAGUUGCUUCCAUGUUGAAGAGAGCUGUAGCCCGUAUUUCAUCCAAUUUGUCUAAUUCAGCCAACCGAUAUUGAAGUGAUUCCUUAUCUCCAAGACAUUCAUCUAACGCAAUGCGCAAACUCUGAACUUCCAAUUCAAUGGAUAAUAUUACUUCUUGCCCAUACACCAAUUAGAAUGGUGUGGAAUUGGUAGUCACUUUAUAUGCAUUACGAUACAUCCACAAUGCCGCAAAUAAUUUAGUAUCCCAAUCCGUUCUCGUGUCCAAAAUUGUUUUGGUUAAAAUCUUAUAUAGAAUACCAUUGGUCUUUUCUGUCUGUCCAUUGGCCCGAGGAUGAUAUGGUGUUGUUUUCCUGUGCUUAAUUUUGUAUGUGUUCAUCAAGGCUGCUAUGGUAGAAUUUAUGAAAUGGGUGCCGCGAUCGCUAACCAAUUCCUUUGGACACCCAAAUCGAGUAAUAAUAUUCUCAUAUAGAAAUGUGGCCAUUGUACUGGCAUUAUCAUUGUGGAUAGCAAUAGCCUCCACCCAUUUGGUUACAUAGUCCGUGGCGACUAAAAUAUACCGCUUUUGUCCAUGUCUCGAUGUUGGUGCAAUGGGUCCAACAAAAUCAAUUCUCCAUUUUUCAAAUGGUGCUUGUGCCAAGAUUGGUAGUAACGGCAUCGCUGAAGUACCCGUGGGUCAACCUAUUCGUUGACAGGGAUCACAACGACAAACAAAUUGGUGUGCAUCAAAAAACAUUGUGGGCCACCAAUAUUUGGCCAUUAAAGCCUUGCGAGAAGUAUUGUCUCCCGUAAAAUAUCCACGACAACUAUCCAAAUGACAUCCUUCCAAAAUUGUAUGAACUUCACUUUGAAAGAUGCAAUGACGUAAAAUUCCAUCCCGCCUUUGUUUGUACAAGGCAUCUCCAAUCAUGGUGUAUGACGCACUUUUUAAAAUCAGACGCUUCUUUAGUUUUUCAUUAUAAGAAAUGGAAAAAGUCUGAAACAUUAGAUAUUGGAUCAAUUCACCAUAUUCGGGUGUAAUGACAUCCACAGCGAAUAGUUGUGCAUCCAGAAGAGCAUCGUUUAUCGGCUCAUUACCUAAUAUAUUAGAUAAACGGGAUAAGUGAUCCGCAUUGGCAUGUUUCUUGCCGGGUCGAACGUUAAUUGUAAAGUUGAAUUCCUGUAGAAGUAACACCCAUCGAGCAAUUUGUCUGCUCAAUUGAGGUUUAUUUAUCAUGUACUUAAGCGCAUCGUGAUCAAUGUGGAACAAAAAUGAGUAUCCAAGUAGAUAGUGGUGGAAUUUCUGUAAAGAGUAGAUGAUUCCGAGGGCCUCUCGCUUGAUAGUAUUAUAAUUUUGUUAUGCAGCAACAAAUUCUCAGCUCGCAUAAUAUAUGGGAUGAUCUAAUCUUUUUUCAUCUUUUUGACUGAGAACGGAUUCAAUAGCAACAUUGGACGCGUCCACAUAGACAUGAAACGGGUUUGUCCAACAAAGUAUUACAAGAAUUGGGACAGAUACCAAUUUUCGUUUCAAUUCGUCAAAUGCAAAAGUACAGUCUUCAGUCCAUAUUGGGCUAGACCCGUCUGACGAGGAUUUCUUUAACAAGUGGACUAACGGUUGACAGAUAACCACAAAGGAUUCAAUAAAACACCGAUAGUAGCUGACAUGGCUGAUGAAACUAUGCACGGUCGACAUUGUAUCUGGCUUUGGUAAACCCAAUAUACAAGUAACUUUAUCGGGGUCCAUAGCGAUACCUUCAACAGAGACAAUGUGUCCCAAUAGCUUUCUUGAUGGUACGCCAAAUUGACACUUCUCUAAAUUUAGAGAUAUCCCAUACUUGUCGCAUUGAUUCAAACAGUUAUCCAGGCAUGCUAGAUCUUCAGCCGUUGUGCUAAAGGUGCAGAAAUCGUCCAGAAAUAUCUCCAUUGAUAAACGUAGGUCAUCUUGAAACACUUGUAUCAUUACCCGUUGAAAAGUAGUCGGGGCAUUACAUAACCUAAAUGGCAUUACUUUAUAGGCGAAUGUGCCCCAAUCUGUGGUAAACAUAGUCUUCAACUGGUCUUCUUCGGUAAUUUUAAUUUGAUUAUACCUCAAAAAUCCGUCCAAAAAUGAAUAACAUUUAUGUCCGGCCACUACGUCCAAAAUAUUAUCUGUGAAUGGUAACGAAAAAUAGUCCUUCUUAGUAGCCGCAUUUAACUUUCGAAAAUCUUGACAUAUUCUGAUUUUUCCAUUCUUCUUUGGUACCAUCACGAUUGGCGACAUCCAUGCACUAUGUGGAACAGGAUAAAUAAAACCCACAUCGAGAAGUUUAUUCAAUUCCUCUUUCACUAAAAGGAAAUAUUUUGGAUUAAGCUGGUGUUGUCUUUGACGAACUAGCAUAACAUCCUCCUCCAGAAUAAUCUGUUGCUCACAUAUGUCGGCUGGAAUCCCUUUCAAAUCCGCAUACGACCAUGCAAAGGCAGAUUUGUGAUGGACAAAAAAUUGUUUUCAAGCAUCCAAUUCUGUACCGAUAAUACCGACAUAUAUUUUAAUUAGUUGUAGUGUUUCGUUGGUACCCAGGUUAAUAGAUUGACACACAGGGUCUUCAACAACCUUUGUUUUAAUUGUCUUCUCCUGAUCUGAAUUUCUUGUAUUAUCCGACAUAUGGGAACCACCCAAAUCUGGUGCCAAUGUGUUAACUCUAUUGAUUGCAGAAUUGUUCAUCCAUUUGGCAAUAGUAUGAUCUGAGUUAGUCGCAUCCUUCUGAUACAGUAAAUAUUCACUGGGACUUCCACAUUGGUAGACUCCUGCCUUUGCUGUUGAAGUGUUUUGUCCUACCCCAAAUUGCGAUGAACCUAUAGCAUCGUCAUCUGCCUCAAUCGAUUGACUCUCGUUGUCCGAUAUAAAUUCUGAUUCUGGCAAUUGAGAUUCUCCAUGAUAUUGUACAGGGUACAUCUGUAGAACAAUCUGGUCCCGGCCUUUUUCAAUUGUCAAUGUGCCUCGGUCCCAAUCAUUCUUAGCUUUGGCUUGAUAAAGCCAAGGUCUCCUCAAUAAAAUGGGAUACGAUAAUGUAGAACUUUGUAAUCGGAAUACAAUAUAAUCGAUUUUGUAUGUCAAUUCAACGAUUACAGUGGCAAUAUUACGUAAGAUUUUCAUUAGCUUUAUCCAACUAUGAUUUGCCAUUCGCAAGACCAAUGUCGUAGGUAGAAAUUAUUUUAGAUCCAAGUCCUCCAUUGUAUCUACGUUCAUUAAAUUCACACUGGAGCUACCAUCGACUUGUACCCCUAGAAUUAAAACGCCAUUGAUUGAUACAUCGAUUGUUGAUGCUCCCGGAUCUGGGUUUAAGCUAACUUCAUGAAUUUCUUUAGUGCGGGAUCUUCAUCAUAUUAACGCUGAAUUCAAUGUAGAUCGACAUUUCAGUGCUACAGCCAAAAGUUGCUUCAUUGUAAUUGAAGGCUGAAUAACAUCAAAAUCCCUCAGAAUGUCAUAGGGUUCCAUAUUGAGAGUAAUUUCCUAUGCUCUUUUACAUUUCAUUGGUUUCAAUUUUACUCCAUUCGGCAGCAAUUCCUUUCUAGCGAUUGGGAUUGCCGUUGAUAACUUUGGCAACUUGUCUACCACUAAAGGUUUCUUUAAUGCGUAAGAUCUUUUAUUGGGCUGUACAAAUAUUGGUACUUGGUCAAUUGGGAUCGAUCUUGAUGGUCCCGGUAAAUUGGCAUGUGGGACCGAAUUAGGUUCCUCAAUUUGUUGAGGUCUCAAUAUUGGGAUACGUCCCAAUACUGAUAUUGGUUCGUUUAGUCCCAUAGAUGGCGCUACUUGCUCUCCUGUGAUUGGUUCAUCCAUGUCUUGAAUUUGAUUCUUGUCUUUUUGUUGGCCUCUGGUAAGCACUGCGUUCACCACCUCGAUACGAUGUAUUAGUGAGUCUCAUUGAACAGGGCCUUUGUCCUCCGUCGGUUGGCUUAUUUGUAUUUGCUGAUCCCGGUUAUUAUAAUUAAAAGGUACAUUGCAUUGCUGAUAAGUGUGACCAGACUGCUUACAAUUUCCACAUAUUGGAGCAUAGUCAUCAUUGGCCCUUGGAUUAGGACAUUCACUCGCAUAAUGUCCAAUUUGUCUAUAAUAAUAAUAACGAAGUGGUCUCCUGCCAACUCCUUCAGGGAUAAUGGGUGUCUCUAUUGGUAUAUAACGGCUAGGUCUGUUCCAUGUCGGAUGAGUAAAGGAUCCUGGUUGACCCAUUGUUAGUGUAGAGUCUGGCAUUGGCUUCGUCAUGGGUGGAUAUUGAUGGUAUCCUGGUUGGUUCAUCGCCAAUCUGUGAGUAUUGGAUACACCUUCUUGGUGAAAUUCAGAGUUGAAGAAAUUAGAAUAAUUCCUGUUUUGUUUAUUCGCUCGAUUUCCAUUCCAGCCAAACCUAUUAUUCGUUUAUACUUGAUUGACAUCCCACGAAGUUGGUUGAGUCAUUAUCUGGUUACUGAGUUGUUGUUGCUUCCGUAAAUUCCAACAGUUGGUAGUAAUAUGCUUGCCCCCGCAAAAGGUACAUUGUAUAAUUAUUUGGGGUGGUGAAGGACAUUUUGUUACUAAAUGACCUUACUCCUUACAAUUGUUGCACCAGACAGUGGGACACAUAUUGGUUGGUUUAUGCCUUUUUUCUUUAUCCUUGGCCAGAUUCACAGCCAAUUCAUCCAUUUUUUUUAUCAAUGUUAACAGCAAUGAUUCAUUAGGAUUCCUUGAUACCAAUGCAUUUAGCAAUUUCUUUGUAGGUAUUGGUUUCUGAUAUGCGGAAUAAGGUGCAUACGGGUUUGAUAAUGAUGGUCGUACAGCUUGCAAUGGAACGGCAUCCACUAUUCUCUGUGGAAUUGUACCAUACUCAUUCCUUCCCAGAUAACUUUCCGAUGCGUCAUUCCAAUUUGUCAUUUGAUAAUCUCUUUGAGAUGGAAUCAUCGUGGGUCCAACUGUUAAGUUUUGGUCAUAGUGACAUUCCUCCCAUACUUUUGCUUGCUCAAGAGAUGAUGCAAUGGUGGCUGAUUGGGCCUCUUUUACAAACAUUUUCAAUUCUGGUGGGUAUAGUCCAUUAACCAAUAUGGACAACACAAAUGAUUCCGGCAUUUGGUUAUUUGGCCAUUUUCGAAGUAUAUCCUCUACACGACCAUAAUAUGACUGUACCGCUUUCUCUGGUACCAUUCUGCUAUUCUUUAAUUUUUCUCUAAGACGUUCUUCAAAACCAAUUGGUCGAAAAUGGGCUAAAAAUGUAUUUUUCAAUGCCUCCAAAUUGAUAAAUUGUCCCACAGGUUGGCGGUUAUACCACUCAAAUGCUGUGUCUUUCAAUGUUGCUGGCAGCCAUCUCAGCCAAAUGUCUUCUAUUCUUCCAUUAUUAGCUACACACGCCGUUAAGAAUUGAGACAAAUGUUGAUCUGGAUCCGCACUUGGCAAAUCCCGAAAAGUAGGUAAUGGCGCGACGCUAGUCGUUCGAUCACCCACUGCACCCAUUUGAACUGCAAUCGAAACUGCUGGUCCUCCGGACGUCAUUAAAGAUGCCGGUGUUCCGCUUAAUUUCUUAUUAAAAUAAAAACUGUCUCCCGUAAAAGUCUUUUUUGGACUUCUAGGCCUUCCUGAUUGACUAUUAUUAUCUCCAAAUAAUUUUACUAGUUGAAUAUGAGGUGAAAAUGACAGGUUUUGAUAUACUCUGAAUUGGUCUUUAUUGGCAAGUGAUUUAUGUCAAUCUUCAGAACGAGUCUUGUUAGGAUCGGACGUAUUUCCAAUUGAGAAGAUACCCAAUGGGGUACCUAAUUCCUCUAUGCCUUCUUCGUUUUCCGUUAACGGCUUUGAGAGGUUUGCUGGACUAUUAGCAGCACUCCUUGCGAAUGCUCUUAGCAAUUUCUUUAAUGGUAUGUACUUCUGAAAUAUUAGAGGUCGAUCGUCUUCUGGGUACGAUCGAAUAUGCCAACAGGCAUGCAACGACGACUUAAUCCAACUUUGUUGAUGCUUCUUUUUCAAUUUAUGAUCUCGCUCAUUAUGCAACAAAUUUCUUGCUUGCGAUUGCUCUGUUCUUUCUUUUGAUUGCUUUAUUCUCUUUGCUGUUAAAUUUUCAUUCUUAAUAACCAUACUCUUUCAUUAUUUCUACUGAGUUUGCUUCCUAAUCUCCUUUACUGCUUCGACAGUUAAUUCCUAACACUCAAUAAUGUUGUCAAUCUCUGGCAGCGGUGCAAAAAUGUGAUUGCUCAUUUUACUUAUUCUGGAAGAAACCUCCCAGUAUAAACCCAUAUAGGGGGAUUUGAACACGGGGAAUGACCAUGUAUAUGAGCUCCAAUUGUUAGGAUCAUGUAAUUUACCGCUACUGCUCAAUGCUUACCAUACCGAAGAACACUUAACUUUUCCUCCUACUGUCCAAUCUCUCAUAUCAAUACAAUAACAUCCACGACAACGAUUUCAGUACCCUGUAUAAUUCACGAACAUACAAGCAUAUCUCAAACCCUGGAACGAACAACUUCCAAUCCACAAAAUCUAAUCAAGACAAUUCCUUCGAUUACAAUUCUUCUCCACUAAAUUUUCAACCUUGCGAUAAAUAGUGACUGAAAACUUCCAUACGACCUCAAUCUUUUACAACAAUUGAUAAAUAGUGAUCCAUAAACAACUUUGUAAAUCAAACAUUAAUUCAUUAAAUCGAUUCUCUUUACUAGAAUCAACACUAACACAAAAGAAACAAGAAAACUAAAAAGAAGAGAUAGCACCAAGCUUAUCUCCGGCUCAGUACUAUCGCAGUCUGGCCCUCGGCUUACGACUCUCAUAGUCUGGCAUUUUCUUCCCCUCUCCCAUCCUCCUUAUACUACCCCGAGAUACCAACUCCUAUACUACAGAUGAUAACUACUUUUCCUGACUAUUCAUCCAUUCUACCUGCUGAACCAC